Molecule: long non-coding RNA, 437 nt
Organism: Nicotiana tabacum (common tobacco)
Lineage: Eukaryota; Viridiplantae; Streptophyta; Magnoliopsida; Solanales; Solanaceae
Source: RefSeq, a predicted model, not a curated record
GAGAAAAGCUAGAUACGACGGAAAUUCAAAAGUUUUUUUAAGGGUUUUCUUCGGAAGUUUUGAGCUUUAUUUGCUCCUCAACUGUUUCCUGGGAUUCCGAAGUUUGAACAGAUUCUUGGGUGUUUGAUUGCUGGUUUUGCUGCUGAAUUUUCUCCUUUGGAUUUCAAAACUUUAUUGAGUUUAUCUAGCUGAUUUUUCUCACAUUUAGGUACAUACUAGAACUUUGCAUCUAAUGUAACAAUAAGAGCAUGAAAUAAAAAAUAUGCGGGAGUUUAAUCAUUCGUUGCUGCAGUUACAGUUUUUACGAAUAUUAUUAGAUUUGUGUAACUUGUUUAGUUUGUAAUUCAAUAAAGAAACACAUUAGGUAGCCUUGUACUUAAUUGCAGUUUAGUUUGUUUCAAAUUUUGAUUUCAGUUGUUUAGUGGGUUGUAUGAUAA